RNAcentral lists this ribosomal RNA (269 nucleotides) under uncultured bacterium. Its description in RNAcentral is "partial 16S ribosomal RNA". It matches the Rfam family "Bacterial small subunit ribosomal RNA", at positions 85 to 354 of the family's 1533-position model. The record is from RNAcentral.
UAAAAUCUUAGUGGCGGACGGGUGAGUAACGCGUGGGUAACCUGCCUUACACUGGGGGAUAACACUUAGAAAUAGGUGCUAAUACCGCAUAAGCGCACGAAGCCGCAUGGAUUCGUGUGAAAAACUCCGGUGGUGUAAGAUGGACCCGCGUCUGAUUAGCUUGUUGGCGGGGUAACGGCCCACCAAGGCGACGAUCAGUAGCCGGCCUGAGAGGGUGGACGGCCACAUUGGGACUGAGACACGGCCCAAACUCCUACGGAAGGCAGCAG